GCAUACGUGGCGGAAUGGUAGACGCGUCAGCUUGAGGGGCUGGUGGGGCGAUGCCCCGUGGAGGUUCGAGUCCUCUCGUGUGCA
Molecule: transfer RNA, 84 nt
Organism: Marinilactibacillus sp. 15R
Lineage: Bacteria; Bacillati; Bacillota; Bacilli; Lactobacillales; Carnobacteriaceae
Rfam family: tRNA
About the family: Transfer RNA (tRNA) molecules are approximately 80 nucleotides in length. Their secondary structure includes four short double-helical elements and three loops (D, anti-codon, and T loops).
Source: Rfam